CUAUUGAUGGUAUUAUUAAGAGUAAUUGCUUAUCUCUUGUAAAAGGUAAAAAUAAAUAAUUAUUCAUAUUCUAAAUUUAGUCCUUUGGAUGUGUAUGCCAGUAUUUGUACAAAUAAUUUUAUUUAAGCUGAUUUUUUACUUCAGUUUAUAUAGAACCAAGAAUUAAGUUAUUUAGUUAUCAAGAAUCAAGAUAGUUAAUUUUAUAGCUGUUUUGAAAACUCAGUUUCAAAAGAUGGAAAAGGAUACUCUACCAAAGCAGAGUUCCCUAGAAUAUUCACAGAUAGAAUUAUAUAUUUCAGUCUACUCUGCAUGUCGUUUAUCAGAAGUCCAUUUCAGCCCCUCCAAACCCAUGUUUUACGGUUGCCACCUUCUACUUCAUGUUUAGUCCAAGUAAUGUUUGAAGUCCCUGAGUAGAAGAUGGAACCUCUCCGCAUCAAAUCAGUUUUUCCCACAAAUAUGACUUACCUUGAAAGCUCAAUAGAAGGAAACAAAGACAAAAAAAGAAACAAAUGGCUUUUAGGCUAAUUACCUUUUAUUUAGUCUUGCUUCCACAUUUUUUAUUACCUUUACUUAUAUUUAAAG
RNAcentral lists this long non-coding RNA (582 nucleotides) under Bos taurus (domestic cattle). Its description in RNAcentral is "long non-coding RNA NONBTAT026824". Lineage: Eukaryota; Metazoa; Chordata; Mammalia; Artiodactyla; Bovidae. The record is from RNAcentral.